GAUGAACGCUGGCGGCGUGCCUAAUACAUGCAAGUCGAGCGAACAGACGAGGAGCUUGCUCCUCUGACGUUAGCGGCGGACGGGUGAGUAACACGUGGAUAACCUACCUAUAAGACUGGGAUAACUUCGGGAAACCGGAGCUAAUACCGGAUAAUAUAUUUAACCGCAUGGUUCAAUAGUGAAAGACGGUUUUGCUGUCACUUAUAGAUGGAUCCGCGCCGCAUUAGCUAGUUGGUAAGGUAACGGCUUACCAAGGCAACGAUGCGUAGCCGACCUGAGAGGGUGAUCGGCCACACUGGAACUGAGACACGGUCCAGACUCCUACGGGAGGCAGCAGUAGGGAAUCUUCCGCAAUGGGCGAAAGCCUGACGGAGCAACGCCGCGUGAGUGAUGAAGGUCUUCGGAUCGUAAAACUCUGUUAUUAGGGAAGAACAAAUGUGUAAGUAACUAUGCACGUCUCGACGGUACCUAAUCAGAAAGCCACGGCUAACUACGUG
RNAcentral lists this ribosomal RNA (497 nucleotides) under uncultured bacterium. Its description in RNAcentral is "partial 16S ribosomal RNA". It matches the Rfam family "Bacterial small subunit ribosomal RNA", at positions 28 to 507 of the family's 1533-position model. The record is from RNAcentral.